Molecule: RNA transcript, 3341 nt
Organism: Anguilla rostrata (American eel)
Lineage: Eukaryota; Metazoa; Chordata; Actinopteri; Anguilliformes; Anguillidae
Gene name: tumor necrosis factor receptor superfamily member 14-like
Exons: 15
Source: RefSeq, a predicted model, not a curated record
UUCGUAAAGGAACCUUCCAGAUAGACGAACACUGAAGACAGCCUUCGGAGCUCCUGGAUUCCUAAAGCAUGAAAAUUUAUGGAGACUAUGCAUCCCAUGAUCCCAUGUCCACAGGGUCAAAGAGCCGCUCUCGCUCUGAGGAAACUACGCGCUUUUAAAUUCUUGGAGGUACCACGUGACGUCCGCUUGCGCCCUUCCGCACAACCCCUACGCAGAAGUAAAAAAAAAUAUUUAAAAAUAUAUAUAUAUAGCUAAGUUAGUUUCAAACUAAGUACAGAUUCCAAGGACAAAUGGUUCUUAAUGCGCUGGCGAGUCCGGCUGGAUCGCGGAAACCAAGACUUCUACAAAGGGAAGAAUUCUGUCCAUAAUUUUGUGAAUUAUUAUACAUGGACAUCUAUCAAGCUCACAGGAAUAUGCUUUCAGAGGAAAUUAGAUAUGUGGCAUUUUAAAAUCCCUUUAUGGAUGGCAUAUCUAUUGCUCCUGUUCUGUGGCCUCGCCUAUUCCUGUGGAAGUGCAGAAUAUAAAAUUAAUGGGAAGUGCUGUCCAAUGUGUGCACCUGGGGCGCGUGUUUAUAAGCACUGCACGGAAUACACUAGCACCUCCUGUGUACCUUGCCCUCAGAAAUCAUUUAAUGACGAGCCCAAUGGUCGCCUGAACUGUUAUCGUUGCACAGGGUGUGACCCAGACUUGGGUUUAAAAACAUACAGGGAGUGCACCCCCUACUCUGACACAGUGUGUGGGCCUCUGGAUCACCACUACUGCACUGAGACCGAUUAUAAGGGGUGCAGAUUUGCACGGAAACACACCAUCUGCGGGCUUGGACAAUUCAUCAAAAAAGAAGGGACAAAAACUGCGGAUACACAGUGUGAAGAGUGUCCACAUGGUUAUUUCUCAGCUGAUGGUGUCAAGUGCACAGAAUGGACAAAGCUGGAUCACGGAAACCAGGAACUCCACAAAGGGAAGAAAUCUGACCAUAAUUUUGUGUAUUACGACAGAUGGACAUCUAUCAAGCUCACAGCAUAUCUAUUGCUCCUGUUCUGUGGCCUCGCCUAUUCCUGUGGAAGUGCAGAAUAUAAAAUUAAUGGGAAGUGCUGUCCAAUGUGUGCACCUGGGACACGUGUUUAUAAACACUGCACAGAGUACACUAGCACCUCCUGUAUACCGUGCAUUCAAAAGUCAUUCAUCGCCGUUUCCAACAAUCUGCCCAAUUGUUUCUCUUGUACAGUGUGUAAGCCAGACUUGGGUUUAAAAACAGAGAGAGAGUGCACCCCCACCUCUGACACAGUGUGUGGGCCUCUGGAUCACCACUACUGCACUAAGACUGAUAAUAAGGGGUGCAGCUUUGCGCAGAAACACACCAUCUGCAGGCCUGGACAGUUCAUCAUACACAACGGAACAACAUCGACUAAUACCGAAUGUGGAUACUGUCCUGAUAAAACUUUUUCAAAUGAAUCCUUUUCUGCGUACUGCAAACCACACAGAGAUUGCCAGUCCUUGAGACUUCAGGAAAUUACAGCAGGAACAACCACAUCGGAUAGUGAAUGUGGACCAAGAAAUAUUCCUUUUUACAUCGUUAUUUUGUGUCUUGUGUCUGUGCUGCUUGCUCCAGCUGUUAUUUUAGCAAUUAUUUUCAUUUUAAUUAAGUUCCUCCCUCUAUCUGGUAAGACUUUGAAUUUUAUUUUUAAUUAACUUGUAAAUGGUGAUGCAGUUUGAAUAGCAGUUUAAGGUUGGCUGUGCCACACACAUUUUGUGAAUUGAAAUCCUUGUAUUUAUACAAGAGAUAUGAGUGGAUAGCAUAUUAAAUAUUUAAUAAUUAAUCAGGGAAUUCAAAAAGGAAAAGUAAUAUACCAUGUAGUACUCCAUUGGUUAAUUGGUGAUAUUCAAUGUUAAAGAAUUAAACGAGAAAAUAAAAAAGGAAAGGUAAUAAUUUUAUGUUAUAUUUUCAAGUUAUUAAAACAAAUUUAAUGUAGUUAUCAAGUAAUUGAAUAAUGAACCAUUAUUUUGCUUUCAGGGAGCAGAAGGCAGAACGUGGAAACGGGAAGUGAUGAUGAACAGGAUAGAACAGCUGUAGAAUGAUGGGUUGCAAGGAGGGCUGGAGCUGAUCCCAGCAUGUGGGCAAGAGGCAGGAAUAUACCCUAGACCGGCUGCCAAUCCAACGCAGGACACUCACAGCAUUCACUCACGCAGUCAUGCCUAAAGGCAAUUUAUCACAAUCUUCAUGUCUUUGAACUAUGGGAGGAAACUGUAUCAGAAGGAAACCCACAGCGACAUGGAGAGAAAAUGAGUCCACACAGAAAGGUGAUCCUAAUGACCUGGACUGUGCAUUUUUUACUAUGUGCAAUAAAUGGUUGGAGAUCCUGCAUAGUCACUGCGUGGAAUAGCUUACCAGGCCAUGUCGUACAGGAAGAAACGGGGUUUUCAAGAGCAGGCUUGAUAUGGUGCAGGAUGCUAUCUAGUUUCUAGAUAAACCAAGCACCAGGUGAACUUUAGUAGUAGGAAAAUGGUGAGCAAUCCUAGCCCUUAUCUUUCAGUGGACAAAUGCCAACUAUGGAGCAAAUCCAUUAACAGAACUCGUCUCUGGAAGCAUGCAGACCAAACAAGGAUGAAAUCAGUCAUUGUUGCUGACAGGAGGGCUGAGCUCCGCUCAUACAACGCACUCACGCCAUUUGGUCAGCUGUUCCGCGCAACAGGCGCCAUCUGAGGAAAAACUCCAAAUCAGACCCCAGAUCCGAAGCGACUGGGGGAGGCCAAGAAUCGACAGCGAAUGCACGGAGCCAGAGAACCUGCCAGCAUAGGCUCCACAGCACACCUGCAACCAGAGUUCACCUGUGGUGGGUCUCAGCAGAAGCAGUCCAGCUGUUGUGCCUCCUGGCAGGUACAAAGACUUGAGGCAAUACUGAAGCUUGCGCUCUACCAACCUGUGCUUGACCCUCUGACCCUAUCUGAGCAUUAAAAAAGGAGUUUUCAUAUGAGAGACUAACUAGCAAGGUACUUAACCGAAAUUGCUUCAGUAUAUAUCCAGCUGUAUAAAUGGAUACAAUGUAAAAUGCUAUGUAAAAGUUGUGUACGUCGCUCUGGAUAAGAGCGUCUGCUAAAUGCCUGUAAUGUAAUGUAAUGUAACUAUAGGAAAAAAAUAUACAGCAAAUCAAGAUGGAAAACUGAGCUGACUGCUGUUUUAACUUAAACUUCUACUUUAUGUCACUGGAAGCUUCCUUUAUUCUCCUGGAGUUAACUAUUAUUUUAGGUCAUUUGUGUCCUAUUUCGAUAGUGUAAUCCACUCUAAAUGGCUUGGUACACAGUGCUGUUUUGUAUGCUGUUUCUUGUUUCAUGGAUAAAAGAUG